RNAcentral lists this ribosomal RNA (492 nucleotides) under uncultured bacterium. RNAcentral describes it as "partial 16S ribosomal RNA". It matches the Rfam family "Bacterial small subunit ribosomal RNA", at positions 29 to 507 of the family's 1533-position model. The record is from RNAcentral.
AGUGAACGCUGGCGGUAGGCCUAACACAUGCAAGUCGAACGGCAGCACAGUAAGAGCUUGCUCUUACGGGUGGCGAGUGGCGGACGGGUGAGGAAUACAUCGGAAUCUACUUUUUCGUGGGGGAUAACGUAGGGAAACUUACGCUAAUACCGCAUACGACCUACGGGUGAAAGCAGGGGAUCUUCGGACCUUGCGCGAUUGAAUGAGCCGAUGUCGGAUUAGCUAGUUGGCGGGGUAAAGGCCCACCAAGGCGACGAUCCGUAGCUGGUCUGAGAGGAUGAUCAGCCACACUGGAACUGAGACACGGUCCACACUCCUACGGGAGGCAGCAGUGGGGAAUAUUGGACAAUGGGCGCAAGCCUGAUCCAGCCAUACCGCGUGGGUGAAGAAGGCCUUCGGGUUGUAAAGCCCUUUUGUUGGGAAAGAAAAGCAGCGGGUUAAUACCCCGCUGUUCUGACGGUACCCAAAGAAUAAGCACCGGCUAACUUCGUG